RNAcentral lists this non-coding RNA (89 nucleotides) under Caldicellulosiruptor owensensis. RNAcentral describes it as "c-di-GMP sequence". It matches the Rfam family "c-di-GMP-I riboswitch aptamer". From Rfam's summary of the family: GEMM was predicted in a large-scale screen for bacterial structured RNA regulatory elements. Genes associated with GEMM are involved in a diverse array of functions, including chemotaxis regulation, signal transduction, secretion and chitin. The record is from RNAcentral. Lineage: Bacteria; Bacillati; Bacillota; Caldicellulosiruptorales; Caldicellulosiruptoraceae.
UCCUGAAAAAGGCAAACACAGGGAAACCUGUGGGCGCAAAGCCAUGGGCCUGUCGGGGAAAAGUCCCCUAUGGUCGCCAGGCUGCCAGG